AGCUACCAAUGGCCGUCUUUCCACUUAUGCCUGCCUACGAUUAAAUCAGCACGGAGAAAAGCAGAGCUUAGAGAAAGAGAAACACAGAUCCCCAAAGAUAAGUCUAAGCUCCAGGAUCCAUCCCUGCCAUUUUGGUUAUGGAAUCCAGUAAUUCGUCAUAGCUUCAGCCAAAAGGAAUAGGGUCACUUGCAGCAUGGAAAUCCCACAUGCAGCCUGCAGCCCAAGCCUAAGCUUUUUCUUUGCCUUUCUGCAUUUACAUCCCAUCUUCUGUCAUAUCAGCCCGAGCACCGCUUUUACCCACAACACUGGAGCCCAGAGAUGAGGUGCUUCAGUCCUUCAGCCUCCAGGACACUCAAGGAUACAGAAAAGUACAGUCUAGCAGUGGCUGAAGGAGCCCUUUGGAGCAUGGAUUUGGGAGAAGCAUGGCAGGAUGAGGGGGACAAGAGACAUUCCUGCCACCCAAGAAGCAAUGAUUCUUGGCUACGGUUGGGGAAGGAGGAUCAAGGAAGUUCUAACUGUUGAGGGAAGGGGUACCGGACUCACCCCUGUGCUGGUCAGUGUCUGUGAUAAUGAAGAUAAUGAUGAUGGUGGUGGUGGUGACACUGGGUACAAGGUCCACACUGAUUCCCUUUAUAGAUCUUAUAAAACGAAAUGUGGUCAGAAGCAAAAAAACUAAAAAUCUAUGUACAGUCAAAGCAAUUACAGUGAUUUACAUGGAAUGCAUGCCAUUUAUGCCAAGUUACCAUGAGACAUAAUAAUGAUUAUGUACUUCAUCAAAUAUGUGUCAGAUUAACUUAAUUUCUUAGAUGUUAUUUGAUGGCAUCUAUAAACACAAUACUUUUGUGCUCUGGCUUCCCAGUUCUCCAUCAUCUGCCUUUAAAAAAAAAAAGUUAUAAUGCCAAAGCAUUUCUACUUGACAAAAUGAGAGACUACAGUUUGGUAAAUAGGUGGCCUAUGGUUUCCUGAUCAAUAGGGAGCUUGUCAUCAAUGUGUUUGGGGCAGGUAUGGCCCAUUGAAGAUCAAGUGAUGCAUAAUUUCCCCAUGUUUGUUUCAGGCAAAAUCACUUGAAAGGAAAUAUCAGAAAGAGCUUUUUAAAAGGUGAGAAGGAGUUCCUGUUGUAGCUCAGUGAGUUAAUAAUCUGAAAUAGUGUCCAUGAGGAUGUGGGUUCAAUUCCUGACCUUGCUCCGCUCUGUGAGUUAAGGAUCCAGAGUUACCACAGGCUAUGGUCAUAGAUGCAGCUAAGAUCUUGCAUUACUGUGGCUGUGGCGUAAGUCUACAGCUGCAGCUCUGAUUCAACCCUAGCCUGGGAACUUCCGUAUGCUGCAGGUGCAUCCCUGGAAAUGAUAAUAAUAAUAGUAAUUUUAAAAAGAAAAAAGGAGGGAGUUCCCAUCGUGGCACAGCAGAAACGAAUCCGACUAGGAACCAUGAGGUUUCGGGUUCGAUCCCUGGCCUUGCUCAAUGGGUUAAGGAUCCAGUGUUGCCAUGAGCUGUGGUCUAGGUCACACACGUGACUCGGAUCCCACAUGGCUGUGGCUGUGGCGUAAGCCAGCAGCUGUAGCUCCUGUUCGACCCCUAGUCUGGGAACUUCCAUGUGCCAUGGUGUGGCCCUAAAAAGAGAAAAGACCAAAAAAAAUUAAAUUAAAUUAAAUUAAAUUAAAAAGGUGAGAGGAUGAGUUCCCCCAGUGGCCUAACAGUUAAGGCUCUGGUGUUGUCACUGCCGUGGCGCAGGUUCAGUGCCUGGCCCGAGAACUUCUGCAUGCCUCAGGCAUGGCUACAAAACAAUAUUUUUAAAAGGUGAAAGGUUAAUGCAAAGAAGAGGCUGCAUGGUAGACAGGAAAGUGCAAAGGGGUAGAGUGAGGCAGAUCUGCCUUAGCUCAGCCUCUUGGAGCCUUAGUGUUCAGAUUUAUAAAAUGGGAGUCAUAAAUCCUACCUCAUGGAAUUGAUGUAAGAAUUCCAUGAAAAGAUGCAGGAUUGCCCAAUAAAAGCUAGCUGUUAUCAUCUUUAGAAAAAGGUACAAUUCAGCAUAGUAUGUGAAAUGGGGAAGACAGUUUAUUCUCUCUGCUUGAGCGGAGUUUCUAGGAAAACUGUGGUUCGCUGCAUGAAUAUGAGCCUCAAACUCCUACAUAUUAGUUUACACCAUGUGAAGUUAUUAUUAUUAUUAUUAUUAUUAUUAUUAUUAUUUUGUCUUUUUAGGGCCACACCCAAGGCAUACGGACCUUCCCAGGGUGGGUCUACACCACAGCAAUGCAGGAUCUGAGCCAGGUGCUCACUACAACACUGGAUCCUUAACCCGCUGAGCGAGACCAGGGAUCGAACCUAUGCCUCAUGGAUAUUAGCUGGGUUCAUUACCACUGAGCCAUGACAGGAACUCCCAUAUAAGUUAUUUUUAUAAUUUAUUUAUUAUUUAUUUAUUGUCUUUUUGUCUUUUUUUUAGGGCUGCACCUGCGGCAUAUGGGGGUUCCCAGGCUAGGGGUCGAAUCAGAGCUGUAGCUGCCAGCCUACACCACAGCCAUACCAGAUCCAAGCCACAUCUGCAGCCUACACCACAGCGCACGGCAACACUGGACCCUUGACCCACUGAGCAAAGCCAGGGAUCGAUCCCACAACCUCAUGAUUCCUAGUCAGAUUCGUUUCCACUGUACCACAAUGGGAACUCCUGAAGUUAUUUUUAUAGGUCAAAAAAUGAUCCAGGAUCAGCACUUUCACAUGGCUCAGUCUAAUAUGAAUAAUGGAAGGUCCUUCCUCCUGCCUCGCCAUCCUCAGUGCCUCCAAAUUGUGAGAGCCUUUCAGCCAGCUGACGAGGUGGACUAAGCUUUCUCGAAGAAUGCGAUGCAAAGCCAGCUCUCGAGAAAAAGCCAAGAGAGAUGGAGGGAGAGACAAGACAUGACUCGUCUGUUAGGCAAUGAAAUGCUCUUUAAGAUCAAAUGAAAGCCAAAAAUAAGGACUGAGAUUAAGAAAACCACAGCUCCAGGCAUAAGAUAUUUAUUGUGAUUCUUAUCUUUCUUGUGGUUGGUCUCCUGGAGGCUUUGGGGGACUCAGUAUAAGGAAGAGAAGUAAAAAAAAAAAAAAAAAAAAAAA
Molecule: long non-coding RNA, 3078 nt
Filed under: Sus scrofa (pig)
Lineage: Eukaryota; Metazoa; Chordata; Mammalia; Artiodactyla; Suidae
Description: lncRNA (ENSSSCG00045024433.1)
Source: RNAcentral